Molecule: long non-coding RNA, 441 nt
Organism: Camelus dromedarius (Arabian camel)
Lineage: Eukaryota; Metazoa; Chordata; Mammalia; Artiodactyla; Camelidae
Exons: 4
Source: RefSeq, a predicted model, not a curated record
UAGUGCCAAAAGGCCAAGACGUUCGCACAAAAAGACACGGGGAGAAAAGAGCAUGAAAGAGCAAGAAAGAGCACCUCCAUGGUGCCCUUCCAAGGAGUAAAAGGCCCGGUUCCAGCCGACUCACCCUCGUAUGUGAUCCUCCCACCAGCUCUGCAGCCCGACGCCUAUCAAUAAUGGAGAGGAAGUCCCGCCCCGGAAGAGAGGCUCUCCGGAGGGGCGGCCGGAAAGCAGGACACCGCUGCCGGAAACCACUCCGGACUCUUGUGAUUACAUUGGGCCCACCUGGAAAAUCCAAGAUAAUCUUCCUAUUUUCAGAGAGCUCAUAGAUGAAAGCCUGAUACGAGAAGCAGCUUACUUCUCUUGGAAGACAGUCUCCAGGUCCAUCCAUGUUGCUGCAAAUAGCAUUAUUUUAUUCUUUUUUUAUGGCUGAGUAGUAUCCCA